GACGUAGGGCGCGAGCGUUGUCCGGAUUUAUUGGGCGUAAAGAGCUCGUAGGCGGCUUGUCGCGUCGUUCGUGAAAACUCACAGCUCAACUGUGAGCUUGCGGUCGAUACGGGCAGGCUAGAGUUCGGUAGGGGAGACUGGAAUUCAUGGUGUAGCAGUGAAAUGCGUAGAGAUCAGGAGGAACACCGGUGGCGAAGGCGGGUCUCUGGGCCGAUACUGACGCUGAGGAGCGAAAGCGUGGGGAGCAAACAGG
This 253-nucleotide ribosomal RNA is filed under the name uncultured bacterium. RNAcentral describes it as "partial 16S ribosomal RNA". It matches the Rfam family "Bacterial small subunit ribosomal RNA", at positions 524 to 776 of the family's 1533-position model. The record is from RNAcentral.